Molecule: unclassified non-coding RNA, 336 nt
Filed under: soil metagenome
Description: partial contains 5.8S ribosomal RNA, internal transcribed spacer 2, and large subunit ribosomal RNA
Rfam family: 5.8S ribosomal RNA (bases 1-120)
Source: RNAcentral
GAUGAAGAAUGUAGCGAAAUGCGAUAAGUAAUGUGAAUUGCAGAAUUCAGUGAAUCAUCGAAUCUUUGAACGCACAUUGCGCCCGCCAGUAUUCUGGCGGGCAUGCCUGUUCGAGCGUCAUUUCAACCAUCAAGCCCCAGGCUUGUGUUGGGGACCUGCGGCUGCCGCAGGCCCUGAAAACCAGUGGCGGGCUCGCUGUCACACCGGGCGUAGUAGAUUUUAUCUCGCUCAGGGCGUGCUGCGGGUUCCGGCCGUUAAAAAGCCUUUUUUACCCAAGGUUGACCUCGGAUCAGGUAGGAAGACCCGCUGAACUUAAGCAUAUCAAUAAGCGGAGGA